Pantherophis guttatus is the source of this 465-nucleotide long non-coding RNA. RefSeq lists it as uncharacterized. The record is from RefSeq and is a predicted model, not a curated record. NCBI's taxonomy places the organism in Eukaryota, Metazoa, Chordata, Lepidosauria, Squamata, Colubridae.
GCACCAGCACUUCAGAGAAGAACCUGACUUACCUGAUCAAUAGAAUAGAAAAUGCACUGGAUGAAGGAGGGGUGGCUUCCUUCAGGGUCAUCAAGAUAAAUUAAAAAGAAAGGCUCAAUGGACACUUCAUUACUGAUCUGUUUUGGAAAAAAAAGAAAGUUUUAACAGCUUCAUUGAGCAAGAGAUUACGGAACUCAUCUACAUCAGAAGGUUGCAGGCAAUCUCAAAAGGUCUCAACAAAGGCAGAGGGUUUUUUACACAUUACAAUUGUUAAUGCUCAGGUACUUGUAAUCUGCCUCAUGUGUAACCUACAUCUGCAUAACUGCCUUGUUUUCAAUUCCCUUCCCUUCAUCUCCCAACGCCUCCUCUCAAUUUAAACCCUGAAGCAGUUCAGCCACCCUGUGCCUCUGAUAAAGUCAGCUGUACUCACAAAAAUAUAUGCCUUUUGCAGGUAGUUUUUUCCCC